Molecule: ribosomal RNA, 442 nt
Filed under: uncultured bacterium
Lineage: Bacteria
Description: partial 16S ribosomal RNA
Rfam family: Bacterial small subunit ribosomal RNA
Source: RNAcentral
CCUACGGGUGUCAGCAGUGGGGAAUAUUGGGCAAUGGAGGCAACUCUGACCCAGCAAUGCCGCGUGAGUGAUGAAGGUAAUUUUAUUGUAAAGCUCUUUUCUUUGGAACGAAUAAAUGACGGUACCAAAGGAAUAAGCCCCGGCUAACUACGUGCCAGCAGCCGCGGUAAUACGUAGGGGGCAAGCGUUGUUCGGAAUGACUGGGCGUAAAGGGUGUGUAGGUGGUUUGAUAAGUUAGAGGUGAAAUCCCGAGGCUCAACUUCGGAAUUGCCUGUGAUACUGUUCGGCUAGAGAGUAGUUGCGGUAGGCGGAAUGUAUGGUGUAGCGGUGAAAUGCUUAGAGAUCAGACAGAACACCGGUUGCGAAGGCAGCUUACCAAGCUACUUCUGACGUUGAGGCACGAAAGCGUGGGGAGCAAACAGGAUUAGAUACCCGGGUAGUC